This 609-nucleotide ribosomal RNA is filed under the name uncultured bacterium. Its description in RNAcentral is "bacterial SSU rRNA". It matches the Rfam family "Bacterial small subunit ribosomal RNA", at positions 43 to 653 of the family's 1533-position model. The record is from RNAcentral.
CAGGCCUAACACAUGCAAGUCGAGCGAGAAGGUAUUUGUAGAUUCUUCGGAAGAAAGAAAUACUAGAAAGCGGCGGACGGGUGAGUAACGCGUGGGCAACCUGCCCUGUGCAAAGGGAUAGCCACUGGAAACGGUGAUUAAUACCAUAUAAUACUUAUAUAUCGAGUGAUAAAUAAGUCAAAGAUUUAUCGGCACAGGAUGGGCCCGCGUCUGAUUAGCUAGUUGGUAAGGUAAAGGCUUACCAAGGCGACGAUCAGUAGCCGACCUGAGAGGGUGAUCGGCCACACUGGAACUGAGACACGGUCCAGACUCCUACGGGAGGCAGCAGUGGGGAAUAUUGCACAAUGGGCGAAAGCCUGAUGCAGCAACGCCGCGUGAGCGAUGAAGGCCUUCGGGUCGUAAAGCUCUGUCUUCAGGGAAGAAAAAUGACGGUACCUGAGGAGGAAGCCCCGGCUAACUACGUGCCAGCAGCCGCGGUAAUACGUAGGGGGCGAGCGUUAUCCGGAAUCAUUGGGCGUAAAGGGUGUGUAGGCGGUUUGGUAAGCGAGAGGUGAAAGGCUAUGGCUCAACCAUAGUAAGCCUCUCGAACUGCCAAACUUGAGUGCAGGA